Molecule: long non-coding RNA, 1054 nt
Organism: Physeter macrocephalus (sperm whale)
Lineage: Eukaryota; Metazoa; Chordata; Mammalia; Artiodactyla; Physeteridae
Exons: 3
Source: RefSeq, a predicted model, not a curated record
AUAAAAGAUGAUUGGCAUUGAAAAGAUAGUUUGUUAUAGUUUGCAAGAGGAGGAGGCAUGCCAUGCCAUGCAGGGCCAGAUGGGGAAGCACAGGGGUAGGUCAGAAUGCAGAAGGAGUGAGGGGAAAGCAUGGGCCAGGGCCUUUAUUGUGGUUCUUGUGGGAAGGAUUGGGAAAGGCAGAGUAUAAGUAGCUGAACAAGUUUAGUUUGAGUAAUUUCUGCAGGCUCUGAGAUAUAAGGGUGGUUCCUAGUUGUCUGGUACCUGGUCCUGGGGUGAUUUAGGCCUGGGAGAUAGUGUACCAGAUUGCAGGAGUCUCAUAAAAGUUGUCAAAAUAUCAUAAAAAACAUGAUUAAUAUACUGACAUACCAUGUGUUUAUUUAUCUUUAAUUACCUGUGUCCCUCCAUAGAAUACAAGCUCUGUGCGGCAGCUCUUUGUCUACUUUAUUUCUGCAGCAGUCCGAGAACUUAGAAUGGUACCUGCACAUGAUGAUUAUUUGUUGAGUCAAGGAGAGAUCUAAUUCCCAGUUGAUUGUUCAGGCCCUCCUUAAAUCUUGCCUGGAUUAUGAACGUUGGGACUUCCCUACUGGCACAGUGGUUAAGAAUCUGCCUGCCAGUGCAGGGAACACAGGUUCCAGCCCUGGUCCGGGAAAAUCCCACAUGCUGUGAAGCAACUAAGCCCGUGCACCACAACCACUGAGCCUGCACUCUAGAGCCCGUGAGCUACAACUACUGAGCCCGUGUGCCACAACUACUGAAACCAGCGCACCUAGAACCUGUGCUCCACAACAAGAGAAGCCACUGCAAUGAGGAGCCCACACAUUUCAAUGAAGAGUAGCCCCUGCUCACUGCACCUAGAGAAAGCCCGUGCACAGCAAUGAAGACCCAAUGCAGCCAAAAAUAAAUAAAUAAAUAAUAAUAAAAAGAAAAAUUUACAGGGCUUCCCUGGUGGCGCAGUGGUUGCACGUCCGCCUGCCGAUGCAGGGGAACCGGGUUCGCGCCUCGGUAUGGGAGGAUCCCACAUGCCGCGGAGCGGCUGGGCCCGUGAGUCAUGGCC